AAAAUAUAGUACCUGUCCUCUUAGAGUACUGGUACAGUUUCUCUGUAAUUAGUGUGUGUUCAUUAAUACAUGCGUUGGUUUCCUGCGUACAUGGUGUGCAGUGUGAGCCUUGCACAGUCACAGCUUAAUCUAGUGGAUGGGAGUGCAAAUUUUCUGAGGAAACCGCAGAACCUACUAACCCCUUCCCAGCCCCCAGUGCUUAGCCGUGGUGGUAUUGAUGUCUCCUGCCCAACUGUGAGCACAGAACCUUCCCCAGUAUUUCUGUUAUCUUGAGUAAAGAGGCCUUGUACCAUUCCCUGAAGAUUGCAGUUGAGUCCUGCUUGAUUAGGUUGACUUCUUCAGUGCACUAGCUUUUCUUUUUUUUAACAAAAUAUAUUUUUGAACUCCUUCAGUUGUGACAACCUACAGCGCUGAAGUUCAGGACCAGUGUGAAGUUCCCUUCUGCCCAUGAAGGCUGAUAAUUACAAUGCAGAUAAAUACUUGUGUGGUGAUGGUGGAUACUAGAAAAACUGCAGAAGCAAACUAACCCCUCCCAUCUGUGAACCAGUUUGUGGAACAUGGAGAAGUGGAACUGUGGAGCGUGUACGUGGAGGAAGGUGAGCCAAGCCUGGAGAACUUCCCUGGUAAGUGAUGUUAAUUACAGAGCAGGGAGGAGCAGGAGGUGGUUCGCUUCUGUACCACAGCUGAGUUCUAACAGCUACUGAUGGUGUAGCUGAUCAAAGAAUCCCCUCAGCUUUGAGGAUUAAACUGGGGAUUUUGAACAAACGCUCAUUUUGUGAUGAAGCCAAAGCAGAAAAAAAAUUUAUUCAUGAAGGUUAUAAAAAUGAUCUUGUCAACUCUGACAGUGAUUUUGCAGAGGUUAGACUGGAGCCUAAAGUCUUAGUAGCAAUAUCACACCUGUUUACCAGGAAAGGAUGACAGAUUUCAAGUGAUGGGGUAGCUGUGUCAGGGUAGGGAAGCACUGAGCAGCUCUUCUGUAUCCAGAGUUGGUGGGCAUCAGCCAGAAUGUACAGAUGUGUGUGCAAAUAAAUCAUGGGGUGGAAAACCCUUCUGGUAAGGGAAAGUGCGCCUUGUGCUGGAGCCAAGGGAGGGGGCAGAGGAGCACUGCUGGUGCUCAGGGUUUGUUGGCACUGUGCUCUGCAGGGCAGUAUGGGCGCUGUACAGGAGGCACCAGUUACAGCCCUUGCAUUGAAAGCAUUAUUUUCAGUAAUUCUUAAAAGACUUUUAUGUGUAAUUCCUACCAGCUAUUACUAAUAGCUAGAGUAUUUACAUACUUAGAAAACAACAUUACAUCCUCAAUGGUUGUUAGGCUUAAGGGUUCUGUUUUAAAAAAAAAAACAAACAAAACAGACAAAACAGACUAUUCAUUUUUGUGUUCUGUCGCAGCAGCUGUCAAAAGAUAGUUAGAUUUACAAAAAUGCCAUCUGCCUAAAGAAGGCAUUGCUCUUAAUAAAGUGUAUUUUCUUUUCUUUUAGAUAGUGUUGUGGAUUUUUGGAAGACUGCGGCUUUUAAACAAACACAUAGCAUCAGGGUACCUUACACCUCUUCCUGGCAUAUGGUGGUAGUUGAAGAAUCCCAGUAGCACCAGCUGCAUGCUGUAAUUGGGGGACAUUUACAUACCAUGCUGUACAUUUCAAAGUCUCUCUGUAGGUACCAGCUGCACAGCCUU
Molecule: long non-coding RNA, 1669 nt
Organism: Grus americana (Whooping crane)
Lineage: Eukaryota; Metazoa; Chordata; Aves; Gruiformes; Gruidae
Exons: 3
Source: RefSeq, a predicted model, not a curated record